Molecule: ribosomal RNA, 301 nt
Filed under: uncultured bacterium
Lineage: Bacteria
Description: partial 16S ribosomal RNA
Rfam family: Bacterial small subunit ribosomal RNA
Source: RNAcentral
CAGUCGCCGCGGGAAUACGAAGGGUGCAAGCGUUACUCGGAAUUACUGGGCGUAAAGCGUGCGUAGGUGGUGGUUUAAGUCCGUUGUGAAAGCCCUGGGCUCAACCUGGGAAUUGCAGUGGAUACUGGGUCACUAGAGUGUGGUAGGGGAUAGUGGAAUUUCCGGUGUAGCAGUGAAAUGCGUAGAGAUCGGAAGGAACAUCUGUGGCGAAGGCGACUAUCUGGGCCAACACUGACACUGAGGCACGAAAGCGUGGGGAGCAAACAGGAUUAGAUACCCCCGUAGUCCCUGUCUCUUAUAC